This 22-nucleotide unclassified non-coding RNA is filed under the name Mus musculus (house mouse). RNAcentral describes it as "oocyte_clustered_small_RNA11806". Lineage: Eukaryota; Metazoa; Chordata; Mammalia; Rodentia; Muridae. The record is from RNAcentral.
UGGAGGCUACACCGACAAACCG